This 495-nucleotide long non-coding RNA is filed under the name Zea mays. RNAcentral's name for it is "long non-coding RNA (ZMAY_LNC003552)". The record is from RNAcentral. Lineage: Eukaryota; Viridiplantae; Streptophyta; Magnoliopsida; Poales; Poaceae.
AAACCAAACACAGAAAUUAGAAUACCUCAAAACACAUGGUUCCAAGACAUAAACUAGCUACAUCGUGAUCUGAUGAUACAGUACAUAUGAUAUGGACAAAGAAGCAUAGGUAUGCAUGGUAGUUUAAAUGCCAACAAGACACGUUCAUAGAUAUGGACUGUAAUCAAAUUAAACCAGAAUUAUACAAGGCCUUGAGUUGCUUAACAACUACCAUAGCCCGAGAAAACAAGUUUUACCUUGAGGUACUCCUUGAUCUUGUCAGCAUGUGGGUACGAGUAGUCUGUCUCGACAGCAACAGCAAGCACAUUCUUGUACCCAUUGAUGAACAUGUGGGGCACAGCAGCAAGGGUCGGGUACGAGAUCGCCAGUGACAGGGAGGCAACCAUGGAGACACCAGUGGCAAACUUCUCAAUCAGGUCCUCCUCGGAAAGGUCAAGCACCUCAGGGCUGAACACGGACCCAUCCUCGUAGACACUGGUGACCUGGAGGCCGUAC